This 339-nucleotide RNase P RNA is filed under the name Fusobacteriaceae bacterium. Its description in RNAcentral is "RNase P RNA component class A". It matches the Rfam family "Bacterial RNase P class A". From Rfam's summary of the family: Ribonuclease P (RNase P) is a ubiquitous endoribonuclease, found in archaea, bacteria and eukarya as well as chloroplasts and mitochondria. The record is from RNAcentral. Lineage: Bacteria; Fusobacteriati; Fusobacteriota; Fusobacteriia; Fusobacteriales; Fusobacteriaceae.
CAGGUAGGAAAGCUCAUCGCUUUUUUUCAUAGAAAAGAGGAAAGUCCGGGCUCCGCAGAGCAGAAGGGCAGCCAACGGCUGCUGAAGGUAACUUCAAGGAAAGUGACACAGAAAACAAACCGCCGGUUUUCCGGUAAGGGUGAAAAGGCGGUGUAAGAGACCACCGGUUUUUCAGGAGACUGAAAAAGCCUGUCAAACCCCCUUCGGAGCAAGACCAAGUAGGAAAGGACAAGGGCUGCUCGUCCGUCUUUCAGGGUAAGUCGCUCGAGAAUAUAAGUGAUUGUAUUCCCAGAUAAAUGAUGAGUUGAUACAGAACCCGGCUUAUUUCAUACCUGAUUG